AACUAGCCCCGAUUGAAGCGGUUACCCCGGAACAUGCCUUGGAAAAUGCAGCGGCGUGAGGCGUAUGAGCGGAAAGCGGGAAUCAGC
This 87-nucleotide unclassified non-coding RNA is filed under the name Epilithonimonas bovis DSM 19482. RNAcentral's name for it is "Chryseobacterium bovis DSM 19482 Flavo-1 RNA". The record is from RNAcentral. Lineage: Bacteria; Pseudomonadati; Bacteroidota; Flavobacteriia; Flavobacteriales; Weeksellaceae.